RNAcentral lists this ribosomal RNA (112 nucleotides) under Caerostris darwini. Lineage: Eukaryota; Metazoa; Arthropoda; Arachnida; Araneae; Araneidae. The record is from RNAcentral.
AACGGCCAUACUAUGCUGCAUAUAUCGGUUCUCGUUAGAUCACCGAAGUCAAGCAUCAUUGGGCGCAGCCAGUACUUGGGUGGGUGACCACCUGGGAACACCGCGUGCCGUU